CCUACGGGUGGCAGCAGUGAGGAAUAUUGGUCAAUGGACGAGAGUCUGAACCAGCCAAGUAGCGUGCAGGAUGACUGCCCUAUGGGUUGUAAACUUCUUUUAUAUGGGAAUAAAAUGUUUCACGUGUGGGAUUUUGUAUGUACCAUAUGAAUAAGGAUCGGCUAACUCCGUGCCAGCAGCCGCGGUAAUACGGAGGAUCCGAGCGUUAUCCGGAUUUAUUGGGUUUAAAGGGAGCGUAGGUGGAUUGUUAAGUGAGUUGUGAAAGUUUGCGGCUCAACCGUAAAAUUGCAGUUGAAACUGGCAGGCUUGAGUACAGGAGAGGUGGGCGGAAUUCGUGGUGUAGCGGUGAAAUGCUUAGAUAUCACGAAGAACUCCGAUUGCGAAGGCAGCUCACGGGACUGCAACUGACACUGAGGCUCGAAAGUGUGGGUAUCAAACAGGAUUAGAUACCCGGGUAGUC
RNAcentral lists this ribosomal RNA (460 nucleotides) under uncultured bacterium. Its description in RNAcentral is "partial 16S ribosomal RNA". It matches the Rfam family "Bacterial small subunit ribosomal RNA", at positions 338 to 795 of the family's 1533-position model. The record is from RNAcentral.